Acanthosepion pharaonis is the source of this 90-nucleotide non-coding RNA. The record is from the annotation of a GenBank genome assembly. Lineage: Eukaryota; Metazoa; Mollusca; Cephalopoda; Sepiida; Sepiidae.
CUGGUUGCCAUGCGAUCGCCGAAGUUAAGCAACAUCGUACCUGGUCAGUACCUAGAUGGAUGACCGCUUGGAAAUACCAGAUGCUGUAAG